RNAcentral lists this long non-coding RNA (6904 nucleotides) under Medicago truncatula (barrel medic). RNAcentral describes it as "long non-coding RNA (MTRU_LNC004917)". The record is from RNAcentral. Lineage: Eukaryota; Viridiplantae; Streptophyta; Magnoliopsida; Fabales; Fabaceae.
UUCCAUUAAGGGACAUGAAAUAGAUCCUAAAUUUAUAUUAUAUAGAUAUAGAUUAUACUAUUUGCAUUAACUUAUAAAAAAAUAAUCAAAGACAUGUUACCGUAUUAAGAAAAAAACAUGACAAUAAAUAUUAAUACUAAUAAUAUCAUUCAUAAAUCUCGUGCACGGGGUGACAAUAAAUCCACUGAUCAAUGAAUUAUAUUAGAGGUUAUUUCUUCCCACAUUUUCCGUGAAGGAAACAGCUGCGCAGAUAGGUUCGCUUCUAUGGGUCACUCCAGUGUUGGUGUGGUCUGGCUAGACACUCUUCCUAUUGAUUUAAGGCUUCAUUUCUAUAGGGAUAGCUGUACACUUCCAAAUUACAGAUUCCCAUGAUCUGUUUUUUGGCUGCUUUUUCUUGUUUCUUCUAUUUAUUUUCUAUUUCCUUCUCUUUUUGUUUUUUGAGGGUUUUGGUCUAGUCCCCUCUCCUUUUGUAUUUAUUUUUUUCCCCUUUUUUAAUAAAUUUUUUAGAGCGUGGCGGCAUAGGAUGGGGGUCUCUCGGGAUGCCAACCUAGUUGGGAUGUCGAUGAUGCCUCUUGAUGUCUGUCUACGUUCCUUGCUUAUCAAAAAAAAAAAAUAUAUCAUUCAAUUCUCCUCCAAAAUGUUUUUGUUAUUAUUAUUCCUAUAAUUAUAUGAUUUUCCAUAUUCUUAAAUAAUAUCUUUUCUUUGGCUUAAAUAUCAUUUUGGUCCCUUAAUUUAGUUUAAAGUACAGUUUUGUCCCAUAACAUUAGAAAUGGUCAUUUUGGUUGAUUAACUUAUUUUAAGAUUAUAGUUUGGUCUCUUAACUUUAAUAUCAGUCAAUUUAAUCUCUUAACUUUUGUAAAUUAGUGCAACUUGAUCCCUUUCCGUAUGUAAUUAACGAAGUUUGGUCUUUCAAUAGAUGUAUAUGAUAUUAAAUUUUCAUAAGUUAAAUGACCGAGUUGGUUUUUACGGACCUUAUACUUAAGCAUUAUUCAUUUAAAAUAUGCCAAAAUUGAGGCUUUCAUUUUGAAUAAAAAAUUAAGAUUUUUUUUAAUGAUUGCUAUCUGAAUUCAAAAUUUAAAAUGUUAACAAAACUGAUACUACUAUUAGUACAUAUUAAUAGCAAAAAGAGUGGCGAGUUGUGAAAUUUCCUUUUAAGAUACUUUUUGUAUAAACUAAACCUUGUCAUUUAUUUUCAUUUAUUUUAUUUAAAAUAAAUAUAAUUAAUUUCCAUUUUAAUGAUUAUAAAUUGUAAUAUUCACAUCAAUGUGUUCAUUAACAUCCCAUUAAUUUGGCAUUCCUUAAAAAAAACCAUUAAUUUGUCAUGACUAAUAUCCACUACACACUAAUAUUCGACAAUUGACUCAACAUUAAUCUUGACAGAAAAAACAUUGACAUACAUCUCUGAAUUAAUCCUUCACAUACAUAUGUAAGGAAUAUCAUAGUGGCAUAGUGGAAAAAGAACAAUCCCAGAAAGGAGAUAUUACAUGUUACCCUACUUUUUUUAAUAUAUUAUUUAAAACUAAUAACUUUGAGUUUAUAAAAAAAAUUGGAAUAUGGGUAAUUGGUUGAUGAUACAAUUACCGUGUAGUUAAAAAUAAUCAUGUGCUACAAAACUUCAUUGAAAAAUUAAAACCGUGGGAUUCUUUUUAAGAGCUAAAACCGUGUGAUGAUCCUUUCUUUAAAAGAACCGUCUAAUGAUCUAAUCUUGUCUUUUUACUUGAUGAAGUAAUUGCACAAUUUUAGAAUUCUAGUAAUAGAUAAAAAAAAAGUCUCCAAUCUAAAGAGUAUGUAUGAUUUUGGUUGACCAAUAUGAGAGAAUAAAAAGGUUGUCUUAAAAGGUCACAAAAAUGGAUGUACAAUAUUACUACAUUUUUCAUUAUUACCACUUAAAAAUUAAAAACCACUUCGAGUUUGAUCUCAAUUCAAACAAUCUGUGAAAAUGUGAUGCGUUUCAACGGAUUUGUUUCCCUCUCAGUAUAAAUUGGAAGAAUAAAGUAAAACCAAAUCUAAGCAACAAAUGAAAAUAUAAAAGAAAAAAAUGUUAAAAAGUAAAAUAGCAACAUAAGAAAUCACAAAAAAAAAAAAAAAAAGAAGAAUAUAAAUAUGAAUCAGUAGAUAGAAAAAGUAGUGAGUAUUAACUAUUAAGGUAUUAAAAUGAAAUAGAAGGGAGUAGAAAGUUGCGAUAUUUUAAUGUAGUAACAACAAUCCUUCAUAUACCUUUUAAUUGAUGCAUUUCUUCUUUUCGUUUGAUUGGGUUCCAUGUCCAAAAUAAAAAUUCGGUCGAAAACAAAGAACAAAAGCACAAAAAUAAGUUAAUUACAAAGAGAAAAAUAUGAAUAAGAAAAUGGCAACAUUAGAAAUCACAAUAAAAAACAACAGAACAAUAAGAAAUGUUAAACAAACAAUAAAAAAAAUAUGAAAUAAAGAAAGUAGCAAUACAUAAUUGAGUAUAUGAGGGAGAUAAAAGAAAAAAGAAUGAGGUUGAAAGUAGAGAUUUCAAUUGUGGUGGUUUUUUUAUGUAGCAAUGCUUCCUUUAUAUACUGAUGUGGGUAGAAUGAAUCUUUGCAUAAACCGUGGAGAUUGAUUUCUUUAAAACCAAAGGAUUAUAAAUUUUUAGGAAUGAAAUUAGUGUCGAAUUUUUUUGGUUGAUAAAAUUGCAGUAAAAUCAAUAGCAUUGAAGACAUUGAUUAUUUUUCUAUAAUAAUUUAGCAUAGAACAUGGGAUUGAGGUGAUAUAUGAGGAGGAAAUUUGAAGAAUGAAUAUUUGAAAUUAUUUAUUUUUAAUUUGAUUUGAAAUAUUAGAAUUAGAAUUGAAUUUGAAUGAGCAAUAAACACCGAAAAUUGAAAUAGAGCAGGAUGAAGGUUAUUACUCAAUUUGGUGUUUAGAGUGAUUAAAAUGGGAAAAUAUCAUCGCAAUGGAAAUAUCAUUUAAUGAGCAAUUAAAUUUUUAUAACUCAAAAAAAAAAUUGAAAUAGAGCAACACACUUAAUAAGAAAUUUAAUUGAAACGCUAUUUUGUUAAAAAAUAAUAAGUUGUCUAAUAUCAUUAAUAUCAUUAUUACGAAAAUAAAAAGUAAGAAAUGUCUAACAUUUUUUGGUGUUUUUUUUUUUUUGAAUAAACACUAUCUUUUUUGAAUAAAAAGUAAGAAAUGUCUAACAUUACGAAUUUGAAUAAUUCAAUCAAUUGUUUUAUUUUAAUUCAAACUAUCUUUUUUGAAAGAAUUUUAAUUUAAACUAUUUGAUUAUUAAAAAAAAUUUAUUUGAUUCAAAUUUGUACGUUUUGAAUUCGAAAUGUUUGAUUUCUAAGAUAAAUUCCAAUAAUAGAAUUUGAUAUUGUAAAACUUCCUUUUAUACAUGAACAUUAAAUACAAAUAUGUGAGGAUGAUUCUGGUGAGAGCAUUUUGUGAGGAUCAAUAUGGUGAGAGCAUUUGUAAAAAAGAAAGGGACAUGUGGCAACACCAAAACAAUAGUAAUUCAUUUCCAUAAAAGUCUAUGAAAUGGGUCCUAAAUUUAUAUUAUAUAGAUAUAGAUUUAUUUACCGAUCUCAUCGUCUCAAAGCUUAAUUAAGCAAUUUCAAUGAUAAGAAUAUGUCUUUUUGCAAUUUCCAACAAUUUGUAAGUCUCAUUCAUGCCAUAUUUUUUAUUCUUUUUUUAAAAUAUUGUUUUUAUCUUAAUUUUUAUUCUACUCAUUAAUUUUAACAUUUCACCAAUCUCAAAAAUUGAAAUAAGAUAGAAGAAAAUCUAAAUAAUAUUAUUUGUUGUCUUAUUUAAUUUUUUUAUAAUCAUUUUAGACUAGAUUACAAAAUCCACAACUACAAGGAUUGUGAAAAUAGAUAAAGUAAAAAUUUAAACUUAUGGGUGCAAAUAUAAUAACAAAAUUUUCUUAAAAAAACGCUAUAACUAGAUGACAACUUGUGGAAUUUUCUAAAAUAAUCUUAAGGGAACAUCUCAAACACACCCACAUAAGGAAAGGAGAAAUUCAAACAAAAUAGUACACUUCGGCUGAAGAUCAAAUGGGCAUAUCUUUGUUUGACAAUCAAAAUCUUGAGUACAAAUAACCAUAUUCGCUGAAAUGAAAAAAGAAAAUAAAAGACUUUAGUUGAAUGAGAUAAAAUAAAACAUAGCAAGUAACUGGGGAAAAUUGAAAGGAUAAAAAUUGGUUACCGUCAACGUUCAUUGCAAAAGGAAAUAGGGAAAUAAAGAUAAUUAUAACAUUAACAAAUUUAAUAACUUCAGCCAUAUUUUCAACCCUUUUUUUUUUGGUUACAAUAUUUUCAACCCUUUGCAUUGCAUGUAAGAAAUAUUAUAUAGUUUAAUCACGUUAUAAUUUAUAAAGUACACCCUCUCGUUAGAUACAUUAUAUAGUUUUUAGCGCUUACCGAUUGGUAAAAAAAUCCUUCCUAAAAUUAGAAUCAUUGUUAAAUAUCUCCUAAGUAUAACAAAGUGUUAUUUUUGUCCCUUUAGCAACCUUAGUAAACAGGUCACAUAAAAAACCUAUUGAAUCAAAAUAAUUCAUUUUGUUUUACAAAUAAUCCAUUAUUUUAAAAUUUUUCAUGAGAGAAAAGAAAUAACAAAGAGGAAUAAUAGCAUCGGGUUUUAUGAACCCUAGACUAUAGCAAAGCUAUCACUAAUGUAUAUGAUAUGUUUAAUAUUCAUCAAUAAUUCCUCAAGAUAUCAUUUAUGUUUUUUACUGAAUCAAGAGUGAGGAAAACAUCAAUGAACUGCUGGACAUCCCGACUAGGUCGGCACCCCCAGGGGACUUCAAUCCUCUGCCACUCACCCAUAUAUUAUAUAUAUAGAAAAAAGGGAAAAAAUAUGUACAAGAGGGGAGAAAAACCAAACCUUCAAAAGAAAACAACAAAAAGAAAUUACGGAAAACAAAAAUUAGGUAACCCAAAACGGUCCCUAAAAUAAUACUCCCAAACAAAAACGGGCAUAAUAUCCCAGCAAACCUUGGUGGGGUUUAGCAUGGGAAAGGGAAAGAGUUUCCCACCAUGGGAAAGUAAAUAUUGACCAUUAGAUCAUGUAAAGAACAUAGUUUUAUCAUAGACUCUCAACAUUAAUUUUUUUUUGCUUUAGCUUCCACCACCGCUCUCUCUUCCAUCACCAUUAACCCAUCAGCAACAACAAUAUCAAAAUUUCCUUAAAAUGAAAACACGGUCUCCACUCACCCACCACCAUUAGUAAUUAUUAAACUUUAAUCAUCAUCUUAGUCAAUUGAGAGAUGAAAUACCAAUUUAAUAAAUCAUCUUCUUAAUCUUCACUCACUCACUUGUAACAAAACCCCAAUUUAUUAUUUUAUCACUCACCUUUUCCCCCAAGUGAGUGAGUGAAGAUUAAGAAGAUGAUUUAUUAAAUUGUUUCCAUUUUCUAGACUUAUUUCAUUUUUUGAGAUCUGAUUCUGUUUGUUUGAGUUGUUUAGUUUUAAUUUGAUUUAUGGAAGACAUGUGAAGGAGAGAUGAUGUUGGAAGAUAGGGAAAAAAGAUAAUCUAGUGUUGAGAGUGUACCAUAAGACAAUGUUCUUUACUUAAUCUAAUGGAUAAAAUUUACUUUCUCAUGGUGGGAAACUAUUGUCCAUUUCCAUGCUAAAUGCCACCCCAAACCUUACCUGAGAGAGUGUGACCGAGACUAACAAACUUAUCUGCGCAGCCAUUGCCUUCUCGGUAAAUGUGAGAGGAGAGAACCUGUAAACCAUGAGAAAAAAAUUGUAGGGUGAUUAGUUUAUUAAUUUAUCAUGAUCCUCAUGAAUUUUCUAUUCUAUCGACUUAUUACAGUUAUGCAAGUUGUGGUAGUAUGUUAUACUUGCCAUAAAUUUGUGGGUCUUCAUCUUCUUAACCUUUAUGUCAUUUAAAUUCAAUUUAAAUUGAUUUAAUUUACUGUUUCUGAGAAUUGUUUGAAAAAUUCAAUUUUUUAUUGUUGAUGAUUUACACACCCACUAAAGAGUUUCACGAUAAUCACAACUAAUUACAAAUGCUCAAGGACACAUCCAAGUGACUUCCUAUCCUCAAGCACACAAGCAAGGGACUACUAAAUACUAAAUCAAAACUGAAAGAGAUUUCUAAGAGUUUAUAGAUAAAAGAAUUUUCUUACAUUUGAUAUACAAUCAGAUGUGUAAACAAUUAGAUAAAUGAACAAACUCUCAAGACUUAUAAUUUCUAAUAUAUGAACUUAGUAAGAAAUUCUUAAGUCUUAUACACGCUUUUGAGUUUGAUAGAUUAAGGACAAAGUUAAAAUUACAUAGUCUUGUUAUAAUUCUUCAAGUCUUCAGCUCCUUAUAUAGGAAAGUCUGAAGAGUCGUUGAUGGGACAUUUGAAAUUCAUUUACUGCAACUGGGAUUAUUCGUUCAUUCUUUUUGUCCUUGAAGUUCUUUGUUUGUAUCUGCAAAUAAUCAGAAGAAGACAAACUUUACUAUCUGCGUCUAAUAGAGACAACUUCAUAAGAGGACAAAUUCUGACAUGGAUUAUGGGUCCCUCAGAAUCUUCUACCUUUUGGAGUCUGUGUUGGAACAAAAUGUGUUUCACAAUAAACCUUAAUGAAUUUUGAUGAUAACAAGGUAUUAAAAAUUGUCAAUUGGUUAUUGCUAAUAAUUGUUCAAGUGUACAGGACCAUAGGCAAAGUUAAUCAAUUUCAAUAGGUCUUGGAAGAACAAUAGAGAGCAAAGGAAUCUAAAGCAUCUAAAGAAAACUGCGUCUGAAGCUAUGAAGUGCUUCUGAAGUAACAAGUGCCUUUGAAGUAAUGACGUCAUCAGAAGCAGAAGUCCAUCAGAAGCAGAAGUCCAUCAGAAGCUAUAUCAUCACCAUAAGCUAUAGUUGAUCAGUAAAUUUAAACUGAAGUUUCAAAGGAGCUGUUUUUCGUUUUAAUCUCGUCUAAGAAAACGAAGAAUUUAAAGGGAGGUAUCAACGGUCAU